Molecule: ribosomal RNA, 252 nt
Filed under: uncultured bacterium
Lineage: Bacteria
Description: partial 16S ribosomal RNA
Rfam family: Bacterial small subunit ribosomal RNA
Source: RNAcentral
UACGUAGGUGGCAAGCGUUGUCCGGAUUUACUGGGCGUAAAGGAUGCGUAGGCGGACAUUUAAGUCAGAUGUGAAAUACCCGAGCUUAACUUGGGUGCUGCAUUUGAAACUGGGUGUCUAGAGUGCAGGAGAGGUAAGUGGAAUUCCUAGUGUAGCGGUGAAAUGCGUAGAGAUUAGGAAGAACACCAGUGGCGAAGGCGACUACUGGACUGUAACUGACGCUGAGGCAUGAAAGCGUGGGGAGCAAACAGG